GCACUGCUGAGGAGUCCCAUACUAGAAUGAAACGACCGUCCAGUAC
Non-coding RNA from Schistosoma haematobium, 46 nucleotides. The record is from Rfam. NCBI's taxonomy places the organism in Eukaryota, Metazoa, Platyhelminthes, Trematoda, Strigeidida, Schistosomatidae.